This 305-nucleotide ribosomal RNA is filed under the name uncultured bacterium. RNAcentral describes it as "bacterial SSU rRNA". It matches the Rfam family "Bacterial small subunit ribosomal RNA", at positions 338 to 657 of the family's 1533-position model. The record is from RNAcentral.
CCUACGGGACGCAGCAGUGGGGAAUAUUGGGCAAUGGAGGCAACUCUUACCCAGCAAUGCCGCGUGAAUGAAGAAGGUCUUCGGAUUGUAAAGUUCUUUAAUUGGGGACGAAAAAAAUGACGGUACCCAAGGAAUAAGCCCCGGCUAACUACGUGCCAGCAGCCGCGGUAAUACGUAGGGGGCAAGCGUUAUCCGGAUUUACUGGGUGUAAAGGGAGCGUAGACGGCAGAGCAAGUCUGAAGUGAAAGCCCGCGGCCCAACUGCGGGACUGCUUUGGAAACUGCCCGGCUAGAGUGCUGGAGAGG